Molecule: small RNA, 557 nt
Filed under: Pan troglodytes (chimpanzee)
Lineage: Eukaryota; Metazoa; Chordata; Mammalia; Primates; Hominidae
Description: retained intron
Source: RNAcentral
GAGAAGAAAUACAAGCCACUCAACACAACACCUAAUGCCACCAAAGAGAUCAAAGUGAAGAUCAUCCCACCACAGCCUAUGGAGGGCCUGGGCUUUCUGGAUGCUCUCAAUUCAGCCCCUGUUCCAGGCAUCAAAAUUAAGAAGAAGAAAAAAGUACUGUCACCUACGGCUGCCAAGGUAUGGGCUCCCAGAAGUAGGUUUCAGUGACAGAGUAUAAAAGGUAAAGUAGAAGAAAGGGCACAGCAGCUAGGAGUUGUCGGGGAGAACAAGAGGCGUUUUGCCUUGGAUAUAGACUGGUGCAGGUGAGACCAUUGUGGAGACAGAGUCUUCCUUUAUAUAGGAACUGUUGGGGGACUGUGCCUGGGACCCUGGACUAAUUGCCUUGCCCUUGGCUUUCCAGUCAGUUCAUUAACUUCCUUUUCUUUCACAAUAGCCAAGCCCCUUUGAAGGGAAAACGAGCACAGAACCAAGCACAGCCAAACCUUCUUCCCCAGAACCAGCACCACCUUCUGAGGCAAUGGAAGCAGACCGUCCAGGCACCCCGGUUCCCCCUGUUG